GCGCGCGCAUCUCUCUCUCUCACACACACACACAUACAAGGAGACAGAGAAGGCCCGCCUCGCAUUGGCCAAAAGGGGGCGGACUUCCCUUCGCUUCGCGCGGCGCAGUGAAAAAGGAGAGGAAGAGGGAAGGGAAUCUGGAAGGAAGUGGGGAGGGUCUGUCCUGUCAGGAAGGAGAGGAAGUAAACAAAACGAGACAGAUAGGGGCGGAGGGAGGGGGAAAAAUGUGGGAUGACAAAGCAAGGCGAGAUUGUGAACGUAAAUGGGCCGGCGUGGGUUCUCUACAUCCCAUUCAAGCCGCCUCAAGUGGCCAAUGGUUUGUAACCUUCACUUGGGAUAUUAAGUGAAAGAAGUAAGUCCAGGAACACAUCUGCUUUCUUAACUGAGAUAUACUUGUGAACAUGCUAAAAAUAGGUGCUGUUGUGAUAUGCAAAUGUACAACAAUGCAUUUAUUUAAGAAAAAUACAGAGAUGAAGGAAACCCUUGAUAUGGUCACAAGUGACAAGUCAAAUUUCCCUAAAAUUUGUGAUUGUCUCAAAGUAUAAUGCAUAUUUGAAGGCCAUGUUUAAUUCACAAGAUUGAUAUAAUUUAUAAAGCAUUUAAAAGGUU
Long non-coding RNA from Anolis carolinensis (green anole), 609 nucleotides. RefSeq lists it as uncharacterized. The transcript is spliced from 3 exons. Lineage: Eukaryota; Metazoa; Chordata; Lepidosauria; Squamata; Anolidae. The record is from RefSeq and is a predicted model, not a curated record.